This 164-nucleotide ribosomal RNA is filed under the name Moltkia petraea. RNAcentral describes it as "5.8S ribosomal RNA". It matches the Rfam family "5.8S ribosomal RNA". From Rfam's summary of the family: 5.8S ribosomal RNA (5.8S rRNA) is a component of the large subunit of the eukaryotic ribosome. It is transcribed by RNA polymerase I as part of the 45S precursor that also contains 18S and 28S rRNA. Functionally, it is thought that 5.8S rRNA may be involved in ribosome translocation. The record is from RNAcentral. Lineage: Eukaryota; Viridiplantae; Streptophyta; Magnoliopsida; Boraginales; Boraginaceae.
ACUCUCGGCAACGGAUAUCUCGGCUCUCGCAUCGAUGAAGAACGUAGCGAAAUGCGAUACUUGGUGUGAAUUGCAGAAUCCCGUGAACCAUCGAGUCUUUGAACGCAAGUUGCGCCUGAAGCCAUUAGGCUAAAGGCACGCCUGCCUGGGCGUCACGCAUCGCG